AGUCUGGUGCCAGCACCCGCGGUAAUUCCAGCUCCAAGAGCGUAUAUUAAUACUGCUGUAGAUAAAACGCCCGUAGUAUACCUAAGAGUGGGCAUGUAGUAAUUAGUUUUGUCAGAGGAUGAUUGACGAGAGUUUAUCACUCUUGUUCGUCUACCUUUGAUAGACUUUAGUCGGGCUGGAUCUUCGGUCCACGUCUGACAGUUGCUGCGUGUUUACUUACCACGGUUUAUCCGUGAGGCCCUUGGCUUGCAACUGUAAAUAAAUCGUUGUGCUUAAAGCGGGCUAUGAUACUCUGCCAGAGCGAUUUAGCAUGGGACUGCAGAGUAGCUGUAUUUGAGUGAAGGUUGUAUUUCGGUAUGACUGGAUCUUGGUACAGCGCUUGUAAUGGAGCUCAGGGUGAGGCCCCGGGUACCAUGAGGCUAGAGGUGAAAUUCUGAGACCCUCAUGUGACCAACUAAGGCGAAAGCUGUCGUGGGCCACCACAAGCUCGUCUAUCAGGGACGAAAGUUGGGGGAUCGAAGACGAUUAGAUACCGUCGUAGUCCCAACUAUAAACGAUACCAACCGAGUAUUUGGGAAGACACUAUCCCAGCGAUCUUCUCAGAACUCAAGGGAAACCUUAAGUCUUUGGGUUCUGGGGGGAGUAUAGUCGCAAGACCGAAACUUAAAGGAAUUGACGGAAAGGCACCACCAGGAGUGGAGUCUGCGGCUUAAUUCGACCCAACACGGGGAAACUCACCAGGUCAGGACACAAGUUUGAUUGACAGGUUAAUAGCCCUUUCUUGAUUGUGUGGUGGGUAGUGCAUGGCCGUUUCCAGUUCGUGGAGUGAUCUGUCUUGUUAAUUCAGAUAACGAACGAGACCUAAGCCUUUAACUAGCCGUAGGCCCUUUCCUUCGGGGAAAGGUUUAGUUUGUCGGGACAGGUUCUGCCUGUUCCUAAACCUACGAGACUUUUGUCAGCUUCUUAAAGGGACUUCAUUCGUAAACUAGGAUGAGGAAGAUUUAGGCCAUAACAGGUCUGUGAUGCUCUUAGAUGUCCUGGGCUGCACGCGUACUACAAUAACGGUACCAGCGAGCGCUAUGGUUUUAUAACCCCUUAUCCUAAUAGGAUUGGGAAAACUUUUCAAACACCGUUAUGACAGGGAUCGAGGAUUGGAACAUCCUCGUGAACGAGGAAUUCCUAGUAAGCGUGGUUCAUCAUACCACAUUGAUUACGUCCCUGCCUUUUGUACACACCGCCCGUCGCUCCUACCGAUGGGACGAAGAGAUGAACCUGGCGGACCGAACCGCAAGGUAAGGGAAACCAGUUAAAUCUCUUCGUCUGUAGGAAGGAAAAGUCGUAA
RNAcentral lists this ribosomal RNA (1342 nucleotides) under metagenome. RNAcentral describes it as "SSU rRNA". It matches the Rfam family "Eukaryotic small subunit ribosomal RNA", at positions 558 to 1794 of the family's 1831-position model. The record is from RNAcentral.